ACAGCAGCAGCCGCGGGAAUACGGAGGGUGCAAGCGUUAUCCGGAUUCACUGGGUUUAAAGGGUGCGUAAGCGGAUCUGUAAGUCAGUGGUGAAAUCUCCAGGCUUAACCUGGAAACUGCCGUUGAUACUAUAGGUCUUGAAUUUUGUGGAGGUUAGCGGAAUAUGUCAUGUAGCGGUGAAAUGCAUAGAUAUGACAUAGAACACCAAUUGCGAAGGCAGCUGGCUACACAACUAUUGACGCUGAGGCACGAAAGCGUGGGGAUCAAACAGGAUUAGAUACCCCCGUAGUCCCUGUCUCUUAUAC
This 305-nucleotide ribosomal RNA is filed under the name uncultured bacterium. RNAcentral describes it as "partial 16S ribosomal RNA". It matches the Rfam family "Bacterial small subunit ribosomal RNA", at positions 505 to 807 of the family's 1533-position model. The record is from RNAcentral.